Molecule: small RNA, 97 nt
Filed under: Escherichia coli
Lineage: Bacteria; Pseudomonadati; Pseudomonadota; Gammaproteobacteria; Enterobacterales; Enterobacteriaceae
Description: partial RtT sRNA
Rfam family: RtT RNA
About the family: This family represents a bacterial cis-regulatory element known as RtT RNA. The exact function of RtT is unknown although it is thought that it may be involved in changing the cellular response in relation to amino acid starvation.
Source: RNAcentral
AUUCUGCCCAUGCGGGGAAGGAUGAGAAGCUUCGACUAAGGUUCGGCUCGAGCGUCAGCGAGAGAGCGUUGCCGCAGGCAACGACCCGAAGGGCGAA